RNAcentral lists this ribosomal RNA (420 nucleotides) under uncultured bacterium. Its description in RNAcentral is "bacterial SSU rRNA". It matches the Rfam family "Bacterial small subunit ribosomal RNA", at positions 356 to 774 of the family's 1533-position model. The record is from RNAcentral.
AAGGAAUAUUGGUCAAUGGACGCAAGUCUGAACCAGCCAUGCCGCGUGGAGGAUGAAGGUCCUCUGGAUUGUAAACUUCUUUUAUCUGGGACGAAACACUUCUUUUCUAAGAGGCCUGACGGUACCAGAUGAAUAAGCACCGGCUAACUCCGUGCCAGCAGCCGCGGUAAUACGGAGGGUGCAAGCGUUUCCGGAUUCACUGGGUUUAAAGGGUGCGUAGGUGGGUAUGUAAGUCAGUGGUGAAAUCCCCGAGCUUAACUUGGGAACUGCCAUUGAUACUAUAUAUCUUGAAUACCGUAGAGGUAAGCGGAAUAUGUCAUGUAGCGGUGAAAUGCUUAGAUAUGACAUGGAACACCAAUUGCGAAGGCAGCUUACUAUGCGGUGAUUGACACUGAGGCACGAAAGCGUGGGUAGCAAACA